AAAACCUUAAAUAAUGAAAGCCCUACCUCUCUUUCAUCCUUACGACUCCUCGGUCGUGCCAGUGAAAAUAAGGAACAGUUUUAAUGU
Molecule: small RNA, 87 nt
Filed under: Pontibacillus marinus BH030004 = DSM 16465
Lineage: Bacteria; Bacillati; Bacillota; Bacilli; Caryophanales; Bacillaceae
Description: BsrC
Rfam family: BsrC
About the family: The 301 nucleotide sequence from Kouji Nakamura has been trimmed to a highly conserved ~85 nucleotide long core to form this family.
Source: Rfam by way of RNAcentral